AAAACCAUCAGAUUUUCAUUUUUUACAAAAAAAAAAAAAAAGAAAGGGAGGGAGAGAGAGAUGCUCUCCCUGGCCACGCAUCCGGCCUGGGCAUCCGGCGAGCCUCCGCCGUAGCGCCACUAUGUGUGGCGGCCGGAGGCUCAAAAUCGGACCUUUUUUGGUUCCCUUUGUAGCCCACUGCUUCUAGGCCAGGAAUAUGGAGCCGAAACUCGUCAAAAAGGAUACCAAAGACUCGAAAACGAGCCGACACCCUUCGACUUCUCCCCCUCCGGCGCGGCGCAGGAAGAAAGGUACUCCCUUUCCUUUUCUUUUUAAAUGUUUCUUUGUUUGCUGGUGUAGGGAGAAAAAUGAAAAAUAAAAAACGAAAAAAAAAAAGCAAAUCAGAAACAAGAGAAUCGCAAAUCACCUUCAAACUUUGUUUUUUUUUUAUUUCUGAAAGUGUUUCUUUUACAAGAUGAUAAAACAAAAAAAAGUCCAACCCCCAAAUAUUACAUAUUGUUGGCUUUUAUAGCCGAAUCUAUUGUUGCUGUUUUCUGCUUUUUGCUUCUUUGUUCCUUCUUUGUAGGUGACGGCGCAAGUGGCAUGGGAGCGGUGACGGUGACUGACGUGCGCCGGUGGCAGUGGCUAAGGGUAGGGUGCGGCGCCAGAAGACCAAGAGUCAAAGCAUGCGGCGCUAGAGGCGGCGCCUAGGGAUUCAGACUGAAAACCCUAGGCA
RNAcentral lists this long non-coding RNA (715 nucleotides) under Gossypium raimondii (Peruvian cotton). Its description in RNAcentral is "long non-coding RNA (GRAI_LNC004246)". Lineage: Eukaryota; Viridiplantae; Streptophyta; Magnoliopsida; Malvales; Malvaceae. The record is from RNAcentral.